GGAUGAACGCUAGCGGCAGGCCUAACACAUGCAAGUCGAGGGAGAAGCCUUUCGGGGCAGAAACCGGCGCACGGGUGCGUAACGCGUAUGCAACCUACCUUUCACAGGGGGAUAGCCCGAAGAAAUUUGGAUUAAUACCCCAUAAUAUUGUUGGAUGGCAUCAUCUGAUAAUUAAAACUGCGGUGGGGAAAAUUGGGCAUGCGUCCUAUUAGCUAGUUGGAGUGGUAACGGCACCCCAAGGCUACGAUAGGUAGGGGUCCUGAGAGGGAGAUCCCCCACACUGGUACUGAGACAGGGACCAGACUCCUACGGGAGGCAGCAGUGAGGAAUAUUGGUCAAUGGUCGGAAGACUGAACCAGCCAUGCCGCGUGCAGGAAGAAUGCCUUAUGGGUUGUAAACUGCUUUUAUAUGGGAAGAAUAAGGUGUACGUGUACAUUGAUGACGGUACCAUAUGAAUAAGCAUCGGCUAACUCCGUG
Molecule: ribosomal RNA, 477 nt
Filed under: uncultured bacterium
Lineage: Bacteria
Description: partial 16S ribosomal RNA
Rfam family: Bacterial small subunit ribosomal RNA
Source: RNAcentral